Molecule: long non-coding RNA, 2210 nt
Organism: Oncorhynchus tshawytscha (Chinook salmon)
Lineage: Eukaryota; Metazoa; Chordata; Actinopteri; Salmoniformes; Salmonidae
Source: Ensembl
GUGCUCUCGGCAUUACUGACUCAAACAAAAUUAGUCUAAUGAUUCGUUAUUUUGACUGAACGGGUCGAAAAGAUUUUCAGUAAAAAGAGCCGAACUUCCCAUCACUACUAUAAACACACCAAUGGCAAAUUACUUCCCGCUAACGAGAGACUUGCAUUUCAGAGGCCACACCCCACUCGUAUGUACAGAAUGGUCUAAACUGUUUUAAGCACAGUAAAUGUACUGAACAUUUAUUGUGUUAAAGCUAGAAUCUCUAGUUGCUACAUCCAUUUUUGGACUUAAAUUAAUUAAUGAUAGGGUACUACUGGGUAACUGCCCCCACCACCUUAGAACAACGUCUAAUUGAUGACACAAAAAAUAAACGUUUGGAAAACAAUUGGUAUGUGGAUGGUCAUGCUUCGGCGAAUAAACGAUAAAAGGAAAUAAAUGGCUACAGUUUACACUUUUUUUAGUUAUUUCAUGAAAUGUUUUUAGAAAAAUGAUUUUCUUUUAAAGUACCAGGUCACCUCCCCCCUCCCCCCGUGGGGUAACUGGCACCUGGGGACAGUCAGUGCUCAAGUACAUAGCCAAUGAGCGUACAAGGUCAACAUUUGUGGCCAAUAGGAUCUCUGUUAUCAGAUAGAACACAUCUGCAUCACUGUGGAGGUAUGUGGAAACUAGUUUCUGGAGUGCAAAAGGUAGAUCCAUGGCCCAGUGUUUUUUUUAACCUUUAUUUAACUCGGCAAGUCAGUUAAGAACAAAUUCUUAUUUUCAAUGACAGCCUAGGAACAGUCGUUCUGAUACCUGAACAGCCUUUUUAGGGGCAGAACGACAGAUUUGUACCUUGUCAGCUCGGGGAUUUGAACUUGCAACCUUCCCAUUACUUGUCCAACGUUUCACUGGCAAGAUGACAGUCCACACUGCAAGGUCUCCCGUAUCAUGUAUUUGACAGUUUGUUCCUGUUUCCAGGUGGACUCCCUGGGUGCUGGUGUAAUCUGGAAGCUACGUGCCUGUUUCAUAGCUUGUUGAACUUUGGAAGUUAAGUGUUUUUUUUUCCAGUGUUGGAUUGAUGUUGUUGCAGUUAUGUCAGAGGCCAUCCUCACCUUCCAGUACCAGCUCAAUGGAGUCAUGGAAACAGUCCUCAAAACCGCUGUGCAUGAGAUCACUCGGCUGGUGAAGUACAGCUUCCUAGAAGAAGUGACCGGGAGCAAGCGGGAAGUUGACGUCUUGAAGGAGAGGCUGCAGCAGCGUGAACACAGAUGAAGGGAUGGAGAGGAGAAGAGGAGGGAAGAUAAAGAGCAGAAAAAGAAGAGGGAAGAGUGCGAGCCGAGGGGGAUGUGUUGGAGAUGUGGUUGUGCUGGAGACACUGAGGAGAGAGAAGAGGCUCUGUUAGCAGAGGAAGGUUGUGUUAUCAAACAGGAGAUCUUCCAGUCAGGUGGACCCAGCACUCUCCCAGAGAGGGUCCACAGGAAAUGGCCACACCCAUCUCUUCCUGUGUCUCUGAAAGGAUGGAAGAGAGGGAGGCACAUGUCGUCCGCAUCAAAGAGGAGCCUGAUGACUGGGGGGGAUCUGAUUACCCAGAUGAUCACAUCCACAUAUUCCCCCAUAAUGAGCCAGAGUCGUCUGGAGAGAUUGAAGUCACAACAUGGGGCCAGUGAGCUUCUUCCUACAGUACCAGCACCAUGGACCAGGAAAGAGCAGCACCUACUCCCAAGGUCAGUGUGGGAAGAGCUUCCCUCAGCUCCGAAACCUGAAAGACCACCAGAAGUACCACCACACAGGGAAGAAGGCCUUCACCUGCUCCCAGUGUGGUAUGGGUUUUGUGUACGUGUGCCACCUCAGGGUACACAUGCAGCGCCACACGAGGGAGAGGGCCUUCACCUGCUCUCAGUGUGGGAAGGGUUUUGUGUACAUGUGCCACCUCAGGGUACACAUGCAGUGCCACACGGGGGAGAGGCCGUUCAGCUGCUCUCAGUGUGGAAAAAGCUUCAGCCUUCAGAGCGGCUUGAAGAGACGCAGGGUCCUUUACACUGCAGAGAUGCCUUACCACUGGUAACAGAUUCAAUUCUAGAGCGGACCUGAAAAGACAUGAACAGAUAGAUUCAUGCAGCAAGGUACACCUUUGAGAUGAGGCAGGUUGAUUGGGGGGGGAUAACUGCCCACGUGUACUAUGUUCAAUGUAUCUAUUAGUUGCUGAUUCAUUUAAUGUUGAAAGGAAUAAAACUCUUUGA